Molecule: ribosomal RNA, 253 nt
Filed under: uncultured bacterium
Lineage: Bacteria
Description: partial 16S ribosomal RNA
Rfam family: Bacterial small subunit ribosomal RNA
Source: RNAcentral
GACGAGGGAUCCUAGCGUUGUUCGGAAUCAUUGGGCGUAAAGCGGGUGUAGGCGGCUUGGUAGGUCUCGCGUCAAAACCUGAGGCUCAACCUCAGUUCGCGUGGGAAACCACCUAGCUAGAGUCCGGAAGAGGAGAACGGAAUUCCCAGUGUAGCGGUGAAAUGCGCAGAUAUUGGGAAGAACACCAGUGGCGAAGGCGGUUCUCUGGGACGGUACUGACGCUGAGACGCGAAAAGCGUGGGGAGCGAACAGG